AUUGAACGCUGGCGGCAGGCCUAACACAUGCAAGUCGAGCGGAUGAAGGGAGCUUGCUCCUGGAUUCAGCGGCGGACGGGUGAGUAAUGCCUAGGAAUCUGCCUGGUAGUGGGGGAUAACGUCCGGAAACGGGCGCUAAUACCGCAUACGUCCUGAGGGAGAAAGUGGGGGAUCUUCGGACCUCACGCUAUCAGAUGAGCCUAGGUCGGAUUAGCUAGUUGGUGGGGUAAAGGCCUACCAAGGCGACGAUCCGUAACUGGUCUGAGAGGAUGAUCAGUCACACUGGAACUGAGACACGGUCCAGACUCCUACGGGAGGCAGCAGUGGGGAAUAUUGAACAAUGGGCGAAAGCCUGAUCCAGCCAUGCCGCGUGUGUGAAGAAGGUCUUCGGAUUGUAAAGCACUUUAAGUUGGGAGGAAGGGCAGUAAGUUAAUACCUCGCUGUUUUGACGUUACCAACAGAAUAAGCACCGGCUAACUUCGUG
RNAcentral lists this ribosomal RNA (484 nucleotides) under uncultured bacterium. RNAcentral describes it as "partial 16S ribosomal RNA". It matches the Rfam family "Bacterial small subunit ribosomal RNA", at positions 30 to 507 of the family's 1533-position model. The record is from RNAcentral.